GCACAAGCGGUGGAGCAUGUGGUUUAAUUCGAUGCAACGCGAAGAACCUUACCUGGCCUUGACAUAGUAAGAACUUUCCAGAGAUGGAUUGGUGCCUUCGGGAACUUACAUACAGGUGCUGCAUGGCUGUCGUCAGCUCGUGUCGUGAGGUGUUGGGUUAAGUCCCGCAACGAGCGCAACCCUUUUCCUUAUUUGCCAGCGAGUAAUGUCGGGAACUUUAAGGAUACUGCCAGUGACAAACUGGAGGAAGGCGGGGACGACGUCAAGUCAUCAUGGCCCUUACGGCCAGGGCUACACACGUGCUACAAUGGUCGGUACAAAGGGUUGCUACACAGCGAUGUGAUGCUAAUCUCAAAAAGCCGAUCGUAGUCCGGAUUGGAGUCUGCAACUCGACUCCAUGAAGUCGGAAUCGCUAGUAAUCGCGGAUCAGAAUGCCGCGGUGAAUACGUUCCCGGGC
This 457-nucleotide ribosomal RNA is filed under the name uncultured Acinetobacter sp. Its description in RNAcentral is "bacterial SSU rRNA". It matches the Rfam family "Bacterial small subunit ribosomal RNA", at positions 923 to 1379 of the family's 1533-position model. The record is from RNAcentral. Lineage: Bacteria; Pseudomonadati; Pseudomonadota; Gammaproteobacteria; Moraxellales; Moraxellaceae.